Long non-coding RNA from Lynx canadensis (Canada lynx), 801 nucleotides. RefSeq lists it as uncharacterized. The transcript is spliced from 2 exons. Lineage: Eukaryota; Metazoa; Chordata; Mammalia; Carnivora; Felidae. The record is from RefSeq and is a predicted model, not a curated record.
AACUUGGCGGCAUAUUGCAGACCAGUGCUUUUCUCCCGGCAUUUCUUCACGACUGCAAACUGCCCACUGGAGACAGAGGAGGAGAGGUUACAGAUUCUGGGAUAGCAGGAAGGAGCUCCCCGACCUGACCUCCUUCUGACAAGCCUUCUCCUAUAUGGCUAGGAAAACAAGGGAUCAAGACGGGGGAACUGAGAGAAAAAUACAUAGGGCCCUGCUUUCAAUGACAUAUUUCUAGGACCAGUAUUUAUCAGUUGAAACAUCCAGAACAACAACAAUGAAAGCUAUGUAUUUGUUCAUACUUCAGGGAUUGAUAAGCCAUAUAUACAUACUUACCAUUUGUUGGUGGCUUUUCCAGCAUCACACACUUCCCUCCUUUCCCAAAAAUAUCUAUAAUUAGGGAUCCUGCACUUCUGGGGAAGCUGACUCUACCCCCAUAUAUAGAUAUGCAUAGGGUGACUGAGGUUAAGCCAAUCAGUGUACUAUAUCUUCCUGACUCCACUGACAGGCACACGACCUAAGUAAGACCUUUUGGAGGAUGCAGAGACAAAGACCUUUUCUGAGACUCUCUUCUGGAUGUUAAUACUUAACUAUAUGACCCCAAAAGCCACUUCCAGCCAUCUUAGGACUUCAGGAGGAGGUCCACUCUUGGUUUAAAGCCAACCAUUGCAGAGGCAGAGCCAGUAGAAGAAAAGAAACCAGAUUUGUGGUAACACUGUGAAAUGGUGGAUCAACCCUACCCUGAAAGCCAUCUGCCCCUGGAUUUUUCAGCAACAGAAGCCAAUAAAUUCUCUUUACUGCUAA